UCAAUUACCCGUAUACAUAUAUGUUGAAUUACAUAUUAUUGUUGAGCAAGAUUAAAAACCUUCGGGUUUGGAACCAGGCAUGUAUGAACAUCCCUAUAUGGGAAGAUUUUUGCGCCCAAGGCGGAUAGAGUGAGCGAUGAAUUUCGUUCAAGUUAUGUAGUAUUGAUCAAUACAGGGUACAACGGGGCUGAUCACACUCCGUACCCGUAAGCUAGAGCGGUUUGCAGAUGAAUUUCUGCUAAACCUUUUCGAAAAUGAAAAACAAUGUUCAUAAUAUGUUUCUUAAACCCUAUUCAUGGGUAGAGCCUAAUUUCAAGAAUUUGAAAGAGAGUUGUUAUGUGAAUUUUUUAUCAGUACAGAUUAUUUCACAACUUUUGCUUCGUUGUUGAAGUGUUAUGUAAAGAGAAUACUUAUAUUCUUUCAGCUUAUAUAUAUAAUUGCUAUUACUUGCUGGGCACUGAAAUGCUCAUCCUUGCUUAAACUAAAUGUUUUCAGUUACGUACGAUCGACCUGAAGGCUCAGGCACGAACAAGGGAAAAGAAAAGCUGUUC
This 551-nucleotide long non-coding RNA is filed under the name Panax ginseng (ginseng). Its description in RNAcentral is "long non-coding RNA (PGIN_LNC013098)". The record is from RNAcentral. Lineage: Eukaryota; Viridiplantae; Streptophyta; Magnoliopsida; Apiales; Araliaceae.